Molecule: unclassified non-coding RNA, 148 nt
Organism: Macaca fascicularis (crab-eating macaque)
Lineage: Eukaryota; Metazoa; Chordata; Mammalia; Primates; Cercopithecidae
Rfam family: Metazoan signal recognition particle RNA
About the family: The signal recognition particle (SRP) is a universally conserved ribonucleoprotein. It is involved in the co-translational targeting of proteins to membranes.
Source: Ensembl
GCUGGGCGUGGUGGUGCACGCCUGUAAUCCCAGCUACUUGGGAGGCUGAGGCAGGAGAAUCACUUGAAUCCAGGAGGCGGAGGUUGCAGUGAGCUGAGAUUGUGCCAUUGCACUUCAGCCUGGGCAAUAGAGUGAGACUCAGUCUCAA